Molecule: long non-coding RNA, 485 nt
Organism: Neofelis nebulosa (Clouded leopard)
Lineage: Eukaryota; Metazoa; Chordata; Mammalia; Carnivora; Felidae
Exons: 4
Source: RefSeq, a predicted model, not a curated record
GCUCCAGUAGCAGUUCAUUUCUUAGAGGAGACUUGGGACCUGGAGGAGGUCGCUAACCUACAGGAUGCAGGGAGUAUAUCAGUCGCGGUCCUCCUUUCCUCCUCCCAAUCUGAGUUCCCACUCCCAUGAAGAGUGAGCUAUGGGAAAUGAUACAUGCUUUCUCCCUCUAGAAUGGUGCUGUUUCCUGUCCUGUGAUUGUCUGCAAGCCUUAGUCCUUGAAGUCUCUAAACAGUGUUCUACCCUUCCUGGCCUUCGACAGUAUAGAAGACCAGCACUCAAAUACCUGAGGCAAUGGAAGAAAGCUGAAAAUGUAAAAAGUCUCCAAGGAAGGGUAAGAAAAUUACUUGGACAAAGGAAUGUGAGGAACCCAUUUCCAACUUUAAUAACUAAUUAUUAAGUCACUUGAUUUUUGAAAUGUGUCUGGUAUUUCAGUGUACUGGAUGCACUGAAAUGUGUCCAGUUCUUAGUAACACCUUAUCUGCUCA